RNAcentral lists this long non-coding RNA (317 nucleotides) under Homo sapiens (human). Its description in RNAcentral is "HSALNT0100534". The record is from RNAcentral. Lineage: Eukaryota; Metazoa; Chordata; Mammalia; Primates; Hominidae.
AGCAGCUGUCUCAGAGGGUUGGUCUCCCGAUACAGCCACAGCUACUGUUCACAGAGCAAAGUGCUUGUUGGGGUCCAGUGUCUUCUGCUUAGAUUUUGUAGCCAUAACCCCUCCUCUACUCACCCCAUUUCCACCCAUAUCUGCUGGGUUGGACUGGUUUGUUUCAGUUGAUUCCUGGGAGCCAUUUGUUUGAAACUAUUUCAGAGGGCCUUUAGGGAUUCCACCCACACUACAUAACUCACCUGUACAGUGGCCACAUGCUUAUCUUGUGGUAGCCCCCAUGUGUGUCCUCUCCAGUGAAGAUAUGAAGAACUCUA